GACGAACGCUGGCGGCGUGCUUAACACAUGCAAGUCGAACGGGUCUGCCCUGUUUUUUGCGGGGUGGGUCAGUGGCGAACGGGUGAGUAACACGUGAGUAACCUGCCCCUCACUUCUGGAUAACCGCUUGAAAGGGUGGCUAAUACGGGGUGUUCUGGCUGUGCCGCAUGGUGUGGCUGGGAAAGAUUCACUUUUGUGGUGUUUUGGUGGGGGAUGGGCUCGCGGCCUAUCAGCUUGUUGGUGGGGUGAUGGCCUGCCAAGGCUUUGACGGGUAGCCGGCCUGAGAGGGUGGGCGGUCACACUGGGACUGAGAUACGGCCCAGACUCCUGCGGGAGGCAGCAGUGGGGGGUAUUGCACAAUGGGCGGAAGCCUGAUGCAGCGACGUCGCGUGAGGGAUGGAGGCCUUUGGGUUGUGAACCUCUUUCGCCGGUGAAGAAGGUCCUGCUCUUUGUGGUGGGGUUGACGGUAGCCGGGUUGAAGCGCCGGCUAACUACGUG
RNAcentral lists this ribosomal RNA (498 nucleotides) under uncultured bacterium. Its description in RNAcentral is "partial 16S ribosomal RNA". It matches the Rfam family "Bacterial small subunit ribosomal RNA", at positions 28 to 507 of the family's 1533-position model. The record is from RNAcentral.